Molecule: microRNA, 24 nt
Filed under: Bombyx mori (domestic silkworm)
Lineage: Eukaryota; Metazoa; Arthropoda; Insecta; Lepidoptera; Bombycidae
Description: bmo-miR-3279
Source: miRBase by way of RNAcentral
UCUUUUCAAAAUAGUCAGGUGGAU